CAAUAGCGUAUAUUAAAGUUGUUGCAGUUAAAAAGCUCGUAGUUGGAUUUCUGGUGGGAGCGAUCGGUCUGGCGCUUAGCGCGAGUACUUGCAUCGUCUCCGGCCAUCCUUGGGGAGUGUCUGUCUGGCAUUAGGUUGUCGGGCAGAGGAUCCUCAUCGUUUACUGUGAAAAAAUUAGAGUGUUCAAAGCAGGCUUAUGCCGUUGAAUAUAUUAGCAUGGAAUAAUAAGAUAGGACUUUGGUACUAUUUUGUUGGUUUGCGCACCAAAGUAAUGAUUAAUAGGGACAGUUGGGGGUAUUCGUAUUCCGUUGUCAGAGGUGAAAUUCUUGGAUUUACGGAAGACGAACUACUGCGAAAGCAUUUACCAAGGAUGUUUUCAUUAA
This 383-nucleotide ribosomal RNA is filed under the name uncultured eukaryote. RNAcentral's name for it is "partial 18S ribosomal RNA". It matches the Rfam family "Eukaryotic small subunit ribosomal RNA", at positions 592 to 976 of the family's 1831-position model. The record is from RNAcentral.